Molecule: ribosomal RNA, 200 nt
Filed under: uncultured bacterium
Lineage: Bacteria
Description: partial 16S ribosomal RNA
Rfam family: Bacterial small subunit ribosomal RNA
Source: RNAcentral
AUUGAACGCUGGCGGCAGGCCUAACACAUGCAAGUCGAGCGGGGUUUUCGGACCUAGCGGCGGACGGGUGAGUAAUGCGUAGGAAGCUGCCCGAUAGAGGGGGAUACCAGUUGGAAACGACUGUUAAUACCGCAUAAUGUCUACGGACCAAAGUGUGGGGACCGUUCGGGCCACAUGCUAUCGGAUGCGCCUACGUGGGA